UCCCAACCAAAUCUCUCAAAAUCCCUGAAUUUGAAAGCCCCAACCCUGGUGGCACAGGCAAGUCUAAAAUGGGUCUCUUAGAAAUAUGCCCACAAUAUGAACACAUGAACUUGCCACCACCAGGAUUCUGAUCUCUAUAUGGAGUCAAACAAUUUCUACACCUCCGUGUUGCUGUUUUCCUUAAUUUCUGCAUUUCAAUAGCCUCAAAUCUCUUCCUUUCCCUAAGUGAUGCAUUUCUUCUCGCUCGCCAAGCUGACAACUUAGGCAUCAAAACCUCAUACCAGCCAAGAGUAACCACAAGCACAAUCACACACGCAAGCCUUGGUGAUGUGAUUUCAAAGCGAAAUGCUGGUGGAAAUAACUGUGAUAAAGCCCAUAACCCAAUCAAGGGAAUCACUAACCAGGGUAACAUGGUUGCAACUCCCCGCGACCACUUCUGGAUCGAACACAGUAUACACAUUAUCCUUUCAACAGACACGUAUCUUCUUCCUUGUCUGGAAAGGGCAAUCAAAUCAAAAAUAAAUUUCUUGACUCACGAAAAUACUAUCAAAAUAAAAGAAACUCUCAAAUUUCCCUUCUGUCACAACAACAAUAACCCACAGCUCCAAUAAUCAAAUGAAACCCUCUACCUCAGAAAGUUCCCCUUUUCCCCAAAUUUUUCGAUUGCAAAAUACCAGCUCUCCAAUUGUUCAAAACCCUAACAAGGCGAAUCAUGAGAAAACACUGAUUCAAUGUCCAUCGGAGAUUAAUCGGCAACUAAUCGUCGGUGGCCGGAGCGGGCGACGACGGUCCCUUUAGGUGCAAUUUUUCCUCGAAAUCAACUGUGAAG
This 829-nucleotide unclassified non-coding RNA is filed under the name Hevea brasiliensis (rubber tree). Lineage: Eukaryota; Viridiplantae; Streptophyta; Magnoliopsida; Malpighiales; Euphorbiaceae. The record is from RNAcentral.